CAAUAGCGUAUAUUAAAGUUGUUGCAGUUAAAAAGCUCGUAGUUGGACCUUGGACCUGGACAGGCGGUCCGCCUCACGGCGAGUACUGUCUUGCUGGGUCUUUCCUCUUGGUGAUCUGUUGUUUCGGCAGCAGGGAACCAGGACCUUUACUUUGAAAAAAUUAGAGUGUUCAAAGCAGGCUCGACGCCGGAAUAUAUUAGCAUGGAAUAAUAAAAUAGGACGUGCGGUUCUAUUUUGUUGGUUUUUGGAAUCGCCGUAAUGAUUAAUAGGGACAGUCGGGGGCAUUAGUACUCACAUGCUAGAGGUGAAAUUCUUGGAUUUUGUGAAGACUAACUUCUGCGAAAGCAUUUGCCAAGGAUGUUUUCAUUNA
Molecule: ribosomal RNA, 370 nt
Filed under: uncultured eukaryote
Lineage: Eukaryota
Description: partial 18S ribosomal RNA
Rfam family: Eukaryotic small subunit ribosomal RNA
Source: RNAcentral